This is a long non-coding RNA of Arabidopsis thaliana (thale cress), 204 nucleotides long. RefSeq annotates it as other RNA. The record is from RefSeq. The transcript has a single exon. Lineage: Eukaryota; Viridiplantae; Streptophyta; Magnoliopsida; Brassicales; Brassicaceae.
CAAGUAUAAAAGCAAUAUAUGGGAUUAUCUACUCAAAAGGGGCUCCAAUUUGUUUUUUAGCUCUCAGUAUUCAAAAUAAGCAUCUUUAUUCUCCUGGGUGUGGCCAUGUGGGAAAAAAAAAACGAAUAGAAGUAGCAAAGAGAGAGAUAUGGGAAUAGUUUAAGGCAUAAUUUUCCUUUGGAUGGCGCCUAACUUUAAGAAAGA